UUGACCUCGGAUCAGGUAGGAAUACCCGCUUCUUAAGCAUAUCAAUAAGCGGAGGAAA
Molecule: ribosomal RNA, 58 nt
Filed under: Colletotrichum truncatum
Lineage: Eukaryota; Fungi; Ascomycota; Sordariomycetes; Glomerellales; Glomerellaceae
Description: partial 28S ribosomal RNA
Source: RNAcentral